UGGAUAAUCUUCCAUGCGAGUAUGUUAUCUACGUUAUGACGGUAAUAGAUAAUAUAUCUCAUGCGCGUUUCGGUCGAAGUCUUUUUCUUCCCCAGUUGAGUAAGAUUCGUAUCCUCUUGUGGGAUCGAAUGUCCAUCCUGUAAGUCGAGUUUGCUUUUUCAACCCUCCUUUCGGAUGAUGAGUGUCUUGGAUAUGCUCCGAAUU
This 204-nucleotide long non-coding RNA is filed under the name Lathyrus oleraceus (garden pea). RNAcentral's name for it is "Pisum sativum (pea) long non-coding RNA (PSAT_LNC038606)". Lineage: Eukaryota; Viridiplantae; Streptophyta; Magnoliopsida; Fabales; Fabaceae. The record is from RNAcentral.